GUGACUAUGGCGUAAUGGUAACGCAACAGACUGUGAAUCUGUGAACGAGGGUUCGAUCCCCUCUAGUCACCCCA
This 74-nucleotide transfer RNA is filed under the name Paenibacillus peoriae. Its description in RNAcentral is "tRNA-His". It matches the Rfam family "tRNA". From Rfam's summary of the family: Transfer RNA (tRNA) molecules are approximately 80 nucleotides in length. Their secondary structure includes four short double-helical elements and three loops (D, anti-codon, and T loops). Further hydrogen bonds mediate the characteristic L-shaped molecular structure. tRNAs have two regions of fundamental functional importance: the anti-codon, which is responsible for specific mRNA codon recognition, and the 3' end, to which the tRNAs corresponding amino acid is attached (by aminoacyl-tRNA synthetases). tRNAs cope with the degeneracy of the genetic code in two manners: having more than one tRNA (with a specific anti-codon) for a particular amino acid; and 'wobble' base-pairing, i.e. permitting non-standard base-pairing at the 3rd anti-codon position. The record is from RNAcentral. Lineage: Bacteria; Bacillati; Bacillota; Bacilli; Caryophanales; Paenibacillaceae.